CGGACGGGUGAGUAAUGUCUGGGAAACUGCCUGAUGGAGGGGGAUAACUACUGGAAACGGUAGCUAAUACCGCAUAACGUCGCAAGACCAAAGAGGGGGACCUUCGGGCCUCUUGCCAUCGGAUGUGCCCAGGUGGGAUUAGCUAGUAGGUGGGGUAACGGCUCACCUAGGCGACGAUCCCUAGCUGGUCUGAGAGGAUGACCAGCCACACUGGAACUGAGACACGGUCCAG
Molecule: ribosomal RNA, 232 nt
Filed under: uncultured bacterium
Lineage: Bacteria
Description: partial 16S ribosomal RNA
Rfam family: Bacterial small subunit ribosomal RNA
Source: RNAcentral